GGCGCACGGGUGCGUAACGCGUAUGCAACUACCUUCUACAGGGGGAUAGUCAACAGAAAUGUUGAAUAAUACCCCAUACGAUCAUUAAUCUGCAUGGAUUGAUGAAGAAAGUUCCGGCGGUAGAAGAUGGGCAUGCGUCCUAUUAGUUAGUUGGUAAGGUAACGGCUUACCAAGACACCGAUAGGUAGGGGUCCUGAAAGGGAGAUCCCCCACACUGGUACUGAGACACGGACCAGACUCCUACGGGAGGCAGCAGUGAGGAAUAUUGGACAAUGGAGGCAACUCUGAUCCAGCCAUGCCGCGUGCAGGAAGACGGCCCUAUGGGUUGUAAACUGCUUUUAUACAGGAAGAAACGCCGCUACGUGUAGCGGUUUUGACGGUACUGUACGAAUAAGGAUCGGCUAACUCCGUG
Molecule: ribosomal RNA, 412 nt
Filed under: uncultured bacterium
Lineage: Bacteria
Description: bacterial SSU rRNA
Rfam family: Bacterial small subunit ribosomal RNA
Source: RNAcentral